UCUAUCCAAUGUUACACAAUCAUAUAUAGAGUAAGUUUUUAUUGCAAAUCAUGAUUUAUUUUAUUACUAUAAAACUAAAUCCUUAACUGUAUUUAUGUAAGUCCCCACUCGAUUUUACCAUUGUAUUCUGAAAGAUUGUUUGGUGAAUCUGCCUCUUAAACCAUUGAUGUGUAGCAUGAUAAUAUGGUUAAGCUAUUCUAAUGUGAUAUCAGGAAAUCAAUUAUCUUGUUUACUGCAUGGGUUUGCGUUCUUUCCGGGUC
This 260-nucleotide long non-coding RNA is filed under the name Elaeis guineensis (African oil palm). RNAcentral describes it as "long non-coding RNA (EGUI_LNC006411)". Lineage: Eukaryota; Viridiplantae; Streptophyta; Magnoliopsida; Arecales; Arecaceae. The record is from RNAcentral.